GUCAUUUCCAGAUCAUCCACCUGCUCCUGCCCCUCCCCCUGCGUCUCCUGCCUGUGGGCCUCCUGCUCUCACCUGUCUUCCUUCCACCUUGGUGCUUAUGACACACAACUGCUUCAGCACUUUGCUCAGAUUCUGUCAUUCAAUUCUCCUGAUAGCCCAGGAGUUAAGUCGAAUACUGCUCUUAUCUUACACUACACGUGAGGAAACUGAGGCCUGGCGAGGUUAAGGGACUAGCAAGUGGCAGAGCAUGCAUUUGACCCCAGGUGAUCUGGCUCCAUAACAGGGCUUUAAACCUCACACUGUGCAGCCUCCAGGUCUGGUGAUUUUCUGUGUGGUUCUAGGUACAGAACGAACUCUGGGCACUGUGAUACUUGGCAUCCAAAGCUGGGACACCAUGGAACCAAGAAGUACUGAUGACUAGCACCAGCCAUAUGAGAAGAGGAGCCCCUAUGGAAGCUUCAACUCAUCCAGAGUGAACAAUGUGGUCCUUUCCCCAGGGCGUUCCCAGAGUGUCUCCAGCAAUCCCACAGCUUGGGCGUGUGCAAUCCCACAGGCAGCCCAGCACUUCCAGAGCAAUUCCUGGGAUUCUCAGAGCUUCCCACAACCAGCCUCAGUUUGAGCAGCUGACCUCCGAAUGACCAGCUGCUGGACACCUGGGCUCCAGGCCAGCUCUCUGGGCAUGGUCAUCAAUGGGCCAUAGGGACCCUCUUCAGGAACACUAGCCAACGCGUGCGGGAGUCUGCCAUGGUGCAUAUCUGGGUGUGGACUUGCAUGCCAAUAUAAGGGGACAACUAUGUAUCUCACCAGGGUCCCUCUCACCAGGUUGUCAUGUGGUGUCUUCACUGUUGCCCACUAGAGUGUGCGUAGGUGCACUGUCUAAAUAUGUGCAUGUGUUAAGAAGGGCACAGAGUGUGUUAAAGUAUCUGUGUGCACACUCUGGUAGGGGUUGGGCUGAGAUAUUUGGCUGUGUUUCUGUGUGUGCCUAUGGGUAUUCUCUCUUGUGAUUCUCAACUCAGUUGCAGAUGACAGCUGCCUUCACAUUGUCCCUUCUGUUUUCAGACCCCAGCAAUGUUCUGAGGUGAUAUGGGCCCUACCUUGCAAAGACAGGCAGCUUGAUUUUGUCCCUAUAGGGUAUGAACCCUUCCAGCUCUCCCUGUCCUCCCACUGGUUUCUGCUCUCCCCUCAUGCUCUGUCCUAGCCCUGCUGACACCCCACUGGACACAUCAGAAAGGAGCUGGAAACCAUCUGGUUGAAACAUAGUUCCUGAGCUAUGAAAGCACAGUGCCCAGGAUCCCCUGGGGCCAUGGCAAGGCUGUAUCCAAGAACUUCUGUGCCCCAUACCUCCAUCUCCUGGCCUGAGCCUGUCUUCCCACCCUGGAUAGGCACAAUCCAUGGGUGAGGGUCCUUCUUUCCCUAGUCAUUCUGUCUCUGGGUGGUUCCCAGUGGAAGUAGCAUUACUCUGGGACAUGGCCAAUUGCCUCUGAAAUUUCAAUCAUAGCCUCUACAUUGCCCUACAAAGCUGGGGACACUGGGGACAAAGGGGGCCAUUAAACAUGUGUAUAUUUUCAGUUAGCUGGAGAGCAGGACACGAAGCUGCUGGUGGGCCCUCAGGAGAGGAAACGUAUUCAAAGAGGCAGAUGCUGGCCAUGGAUUCUGCAUCUUGGCAGGGACAGCAGCUCUUGGCACUUGCUCUAGAAGGCCUGACGCACUGUCUGUCCCACUGCAGCGGUUCUCCUUGCAUAUGACCUCAUGUUCCUCAGCUCCAGUGCCCAGGUCCAGGUCUCCCCAGUGUGUGGCAGCCCUCAGUGCUGCUCCUUGGCCAGGAGGGCCCAGGCAGGCCUCCAGGUGGGGAUUUUCUUAUGAUGGGGAAAAUAAUCAGAAAGCUCUAUGAUGUUGGGCAAAUUGCUUAAGCCCUUUGUGCCUGGGUUUGUUAACCUAUAAAAUGGGGAACAAUAUAUACCUCACAGGGUGUGGUAAGACUUAAACAAGUCACUCUGUCCUUAACAUAUACUGAGAGAUACAUCGGGCACUAUCUGCAAUGUAUGUAGGAAGCACUUCAUAAUUGUUUAUUAUAAGACUACCCCACAGCCCAUCUGACUUUCUCCCUGGGUCUGCUGGAAGGGGAAAGGAGAGAGACUUCUUUUGCAGGGUUUAAGAUUGGAAGCAGGCAGGGAUAAUGCCCUUUCACACUUAGAAAGGACCCCCAUUAUCCUGGCAUUACUGGGGAUACCCAGGGUACCUGGGGGAUGCAGCCCUGUGUAGGCAGGUGAGGAUAUCAGCAGGACAAAACUUCCCACCCAGGACAGGAAGCCUGCCUCGCCCUGCUCCUGUCUUCUCUGGUCUUUAUUAAAGGUCAGCAAGAGCAGAGAGACCCCCUAGAAUUUGUCUCUGUUGACAAGGCCAGCAGACAUAGGCUCUAAAAAUAAACCUUAAUAAGAUUUUAAGUAAACACUUUUUCAACAACAAUUCAGAUCACGGUUCUUUUUCUCUCCUACCGAGCAGUGUGACCUAUAGUGAAGCCCACUGCACAGAGGAGAAAAUGUCAGAGGCUUCAGAGCCCUGGAAGACUCUCAAGGCCUGCUCUGCCUGUGGCCUGCCUUGCCAGAAGGAUCUUGAAGCGAGAGCUGCAAACCCACCCCAGGGGACACGGGAACUACUAUCUCCGCCCCCACCCCCACCCCCACCAUGGACUGUCUGCACCCAGAUUCCAGCAGGCAGAGGGUGUCCUGGCUUUGUUUUCAUUUCAACAUGGCCCUCUCAUAGGCAAGGUCUGGGGGCCACCAAUCUGUCAAGUUCACUGCGGGUGCAGGAUGCUGCGCAGCGCAGUGUGGGGCUUAAGAACGACUAGAAAGGGCUCCGGGAAUGGGGUCUCUG
This 2874-nucleotide long non-coding RNA is filed under the name Marmota monax (woodchuck). The record is from RNAcentral. Lineage: Eukaryota; Metazoa; Chordata; Mammalia; Rodentia; Sciuridae.